GACUGAUAGGGCAAAUAAAAAUUUGUAAGUAAUAUGGUUAUAAUUUAUUUAUAUUAAGGUUACUCUUGAACGUUAAAGGGUGAAAUCUAGUGUCUGUAAAAGUGGUACUUUAAUAAUAAUUAUUUAGAGGCCGUGAAGAUUUGGGUUCAAAUUAGGAUUAGAUACCCUUGUAUGCCAAAUUUUAAAUUUUAAAACUUGAGUAGUAAGCAGUUAUGAUCUUGAAACUUAGAGAAUUUGGCGGUAUUUUAAUCUGUUUAGAGGAACCUGUUUCGUAAACGAUACACCACGAAAUAUUUUACCUCUUUAAGUAGAAUCAGUUUGUAUACCGUCAUUAUUAGAUAACUUUAAUAAUAGGUUAUUGGAGUAAAAGUUAUUUUAGUAUAUUAGAUCAAGGUGCAGCCAAUAAGGAGGUGGUUAAUGGGUUACAAUAAUAUUUAGUUAAACGAAUUUUAGUUAUAAUUAAUUAAAUGAAGGUGGAUUUAAUUGUAAGUUUAUUUUAAUAAGAUAAUUUGAUAGUAGCUCUAAAAUAUGUACACAUCGCCCGUCGCUCUCAUUACAAUGU
Molecule: ribosomal RNA, 562 nt
Filed under: Stylodactylus multidentatus
Lineage: Eukaryota; Metazoa; Arthropoda; Malacostraca; Decapoda; Stylodactylidae
Description: partial 12S ribosomal RNA
Source: RNAcentral